RNAcentral lists this unclassified non-coding RNA (1993 nucleotides) under uncultured fungus. RNAcentral's name for it is "sequence contains 18S rRNA gene, ITS1, 5.8S rRNA gene, ITS2, 28S rRNA gene". The stretch from base 874 to 1993 matches the Rfam family "Eukaryotic large subunit ribosomal RNA", at positions 1 to 961 of the family's 3401-position model. Lineage: Eukaryota; Fungi. The record is from RNAcentral.
GGAAGGAUCAUUAACACGUAUCCACGUUUUAACAAAAACAUUAUCAACACCAGAAAGAACUGAACUCCCUACUGAUAAAACUGCGGUGUCGUAAUCCUGUCUUGAUGGGUCCCAGUCUAGCGUGUAGUUGUUUGAGACUUGCGUUAGAUUGAAGGCUGGCAGGCGUCGACUAUCAUACCUCGAGUAUGUGCCAAAACAUUAUUAGUAGGCUUACUGACUCUAUUCUCGCGUGGAAGUCAAAUUCCAAUCCUUACCAUCAUAAGGCCGAGUCUAGAACCCCAUACCUAUUUCACCCUAUUUUACCCAUUUGACUAAUUAUGAUAUUCUUAGGAGAAAUCCUUUGAAUUACUAAGAUUUAUCUUAACUAAGCACAACUCUUAGCAAUGGAUAUCUUGGUUCUCGCAACGAUGAAGAACGCAGCGAAAUGCGAUAUGUAAUGCGAAUUGCAGAAUUCAGUGAAUCAUCGAAUCUUUGAACGCAAAUUGCGCUCUCGGGAUAGACCUGGGAGCACGCCUCUCUGAGUAUCGGUUCAACCCAUCUCACUUGGCGUAUGGAAUGAGUUUCGGCUCGUUUUAUAUGCUACUGUGGAAAAUGAGAGUCUUGGCUACAUUUAAGCGGCUAAGUCUCUUGAAAUAUGUUGAGCUUAGAUCGACUAGUUACCUUCUUACCUUCGGGUAGGAUAGCGCCGUUUGGCUCUUUCUCUACUAGUAACGUGGAUAAUCUCACCCUUGUGGUGUCUUGAAACGUUAUCUAGCUUUAGGGUUAGGUUCAAGUUGAAUGGUUGUGAACAUUUCUAGAUAGAUCGACAGCGUAUGAAUUGCCUUUACUUAGCAUUAGUUUUUGGAUUAGUGUUUAUGUAAACCCUUUCGAAUUAGAUCUCAGAUGAAGCGAGAAGACCCCCUGAAUUUAAGCAUAUUAAUAAGGGGAGGAAAAGAAACUAACAAGGAUUCCCCUAGUAACGGCGAGUGAAGCGGGAAGAGCUCAAUAUGAAAAUCGGUGCUCCAAGCGGGUCAUCGAAUUGUAGCCUAGAGACGUGUCAUCAGCGUGUGAGCCAGGUACAAGUCCUUUGGAAGAAGGCAUCAGAGAGGGUGAGAAUCCCGUCCUUGACCUGGAGUUCGCCGCGUACGAUGCAUGUUCACAGAGUCGAGUUGUUUGGGAUUGCAGCUCUAAAUGGGUGGUAAGUUUCAUCUAAAGCUAAAUAUAGGCGAGAGACCGAUAGCGAACAAGUACCGUGAGGGAAAGAUGAAAAGAACUUUGAAAAGAGAGUUAAAAAGUACUUGAAAUUGCUAAGAGGGAAGCGCUGGAAACCAGUCGUUACUUAUAGUCAUAUCGAUUAUUUGCUCUCGAAGGUGUAUGUUGGUAGUGGGUUAACCCUAUCAAUAUGCUCGGACGGUGGGUAAGUAGUUCUGUGGCUGUGAGUGUGUCAGGAUCAAUUCGAUUCGCAGGAGAAAGUAAUGAGAAAGGUAGGACUGCUUUCGGGUAGUCUGUUAUAGUCUUGUUACCAUACUGUGGAUUGGAUUGAGGAAGUCAUGUUGCGCCUUUUUGGCUUGGUACCUUGUUCCUGCUGGAUCAAUUGGUUUGGAUAGCAAUGCUAUGCGGCUAAUGAAGUCUGGUACUGGGUGAGACUACCAUAUGCAUCAUCGCGAUUCUGACGAAAUGGUUUUCAUCGACCCGUCUUGAAACACGGACCAAGGAGUCUAACAUAUAUGCGAGUAUUUGGGUGGUAAACCCUGAUGCGUAAUGAAAGUAAAGGCAGCUUGUCUGCUGAGGUAGGAACCCGGCAACGGGGGCACUAUCGACCGAUCAUCACUUGUGAAAGAUUUGAGUAAGAGCAUAUCUGUUGGGACCCGAAAGAUGGUGAUCUAUGCCUGAACAGGGUGAAGCCAGGGGAAACUCUGGUGGAAGCUCGUAGCGAUACUGACGUGCAAAUCGUUCGUCUGAUUUGGGUAUAGGGGCGAAAGACUAAUCGAACCAUCUAGUAGCUGGUUCCCUC